RNA transcript from Callithrix jacchus (white-tufted-ear marmoset), 974 nucleotides. It is a transcript of the gene named ARL14 effector protein pseudogene, with no coding region annotated. The record is from RefSeq and is a predicted model, not a curated record. Lineage: Eukaryota; Metazoa; Chordata; Mammalia; Primates; Cebidae.
CCUGCCCCGCCGGGCGGAGGACAGCUCAAGCUAAGGGUGAUCAGCCCAUGACCUAGACCUCUAGACAAAAUAAAGCAGGGAAAAUUUGCUAGAAUCAAGAAUGAUGGAUCCAUGCUCAGUUGGAGUCCAGCUUCAUACUACAAAUGAGUGCCAUAAAACAUGCUAUACUCAUCACACAGGUUUUAAGACUUUGCAAGAAUUGUCAUCAAAUGAUAUGCUUUUACUUCAACUUAGAACUGGAAUGACACUUUCUGGGAACAAUACUAUUUGCUUUCAUCAUGUAAAAAUUUACAUUGACAGAUUUGAGGAUUUACAGUAGUCAUGUUGUGACCCAUUUAACAAACAAACAAACAAAAACUAGUAAAAAAGAAUUUGCAUGUAAUUGACUUAGAUGAUGCCACUUUUCUGAGUGCAAAAUUCGGAAGACAGCUUGUACCUGGUUGGAAGCUUUGUCCAAAAUGCAAAUAGACAAUCAACGGAAGUGUAGAUGUUGAUACUGAAGACUGCCAGAGAAGGAAACCUGAGUCAGAUGGAAGAACUGCGAAAGCUUUGUGGUCGUUACAAUUUACAAAUCCAGGAAGGCAAACUGAAUUUGCUCCAGAAACUGGUAAAAGAGAAAGAAGGCUUACAAAAAAUGCAAGUGCUAGUUCAGACAGACAGGUGAUACCAUUGAAGAGUAAGGUCUAUGAUAGCCAGGGGCUCCUCAUUUUUAGUGGGAUGGACCUCUGUGACUGCCUUGAUGAAGAUUGCUUAGGAUGUUUCUAUGCUUGUUCUGCCUGUGGUUCUACCAAAUGUGGAGCUGAAUGCUGCUGUGACCGCAAGUGGCUGUAUGAGCAAAUUGAAAUUGAAGGAGGAGAAAUAAUUCAUAAUAAACAUGCUGGAUAAUCUGUGGUAUCAAACUAUGGGGUCUUUGAAGGCCUUUAUUUCUAAAAUUCUAUUACUCUUAGAUACAUUUUAAGCUUGAUUGUCAAAUG